CCCCUCCCCGCGCCUAGAGGCCAGGCUGUCUCCAGGCUGGGAGACUCACCAGCCUGGUUUUCUUGUUUUUGUGGCUGACUCAGGGGUGUCCCCGAAGACGCGAAACCCUCCUCGGGAGGGUGGGUCGGAGCUGGGCCGCUCCCUGGACUCGGAAAGGGGAAGAGUUCCACUUGGGGGGGGCCCUUUGCUGGUCCAGGGGACUGUGAAGGAGCAGAGUCACCUCAGUCACGGAGCAGCAAGGCCAGAGGCGAAACCCACUGCUCCUCCCUCGCCAGCCUGGGCAGGACGUUCAGUACGGAGCUGGCACCUCCCCGGCCGGGCUCUGUGGCCGGGAGACUAGGGUGAGAGCCUGGGCGGAGUUGGAGAAGAUGCCCCUUUCCCCCAAUUUGUGCCGGCCUUGC
RNAcentral lists this long non-coding RNA (401 nucleotides) under Ornithorhynchus anatinus (platypus). RNAcentral's name for it is "lncRNA (ENSOANG00000046198.1)". Lineage: Eukaryota; Metazoa; Chordata; Mammalia; Monotremata; Ornithorhynchidae. The record is from RNAcentral.